This 68-nucleotide small nucleolar RNA is filed under the name Opisthocomus hoazin. RNAcentral's name for it is "Small nucleolar RNA SNORD58". It matches the Rfam family "Small nucleolar RNA SNORD58". Rfam says of the family: snoRNA U58 is found in introns 1, 3 and 6 of the ribosomal protein RPL17 gene in humans. U58 is a member of the C/D class of snoRNA which contain C (UGAUGA) and D (CUGA) box motifs. Lineage: Eukaryota; Metazoa; Chordata; Aves; Opisthocomiformes; Opisthocomidae. The record is from Rfam by way of RNAcentral.
UUGCUGUGAUGACCAUCUUGGCACACCUUUGGAACACCCGUGAAAAAAAUAAGUUAUUUCUGAGCAAC